Molecule: unclassified non-coding RNA, 692 nt
Filed under: Hevea brasiliensis (rubber tree)
Lineage: Eukaryota; Viridiplantae; Streptophyta; Magnoliopsida; Malpighiales; Euphorbiaceae
Source: RNAcentral
UGGCCUAGGUCCUAGAUGGCAAGAACACCCCCAGAAAACUAGCUCUUAGAGAAGGAAAGAACCAGGAGAUUGAACAUUCCUUAACAUGAUAGUUUCUACAGCUCGCAUCAAAGUUUUCAACGAUCAAUAUCUCCACAAUUUCUCUGUCCAUACAUCAAAGAAUAUAAACCAGAUUGAAACUCCAUGCAGCCUCUCAUAGCAGUGAACAUGUAUACUUCUUAGCUCAUUCAAAAACUAAAACCAUCAGACCAAUCCACAUGUGAGCUUUAGAUUAAGAAAUUAUAAGGGCGGUAUUGCUGGCCCAAAUUCGUCGAGCUUUUAUAAUUAAGCAUGCUUUGUCUCUUAUCUUUGUUAGAUCACAUGGCAUUGACCAUAGAGAGCUCAGCAAAGCUUACUCAGAGACCAAGUGAUACAUAAAUUAGGACCAUCAAAAACAGGAAUCUUGCAUGUGCCAAGGUAUACACCAAAGAAAUGUUCUUGCAUUUGCUUGAAUUUCAUUCUUAUCAGUUAUACUUAAUUAUGUCCAAUCAGCUAAGUUGACAUUUUACUCAUAAAUGAAGGAAUAGUUCUUCUGACGUUCUAAAAUAAUAGUAAGUAAAACAUAAAGAGAAUAGUCAAAAACAGAAAGAGAAUCAAAGUUGUGUUAAUGUCCUUUUUGGAGCCAUCAUGGUCCUUUGGCUUCAACAGUUUUG